Molecule: ribosomal RNA, 380 nt
Filed under: uncultured bacterium
Lineage: Bacteria
Description: bacterial SSU rRNA
Rfam family: Bacterial small subunit ribosomal RNA
Source: RNAcentral
CGGUAAUACAGAGGUGGCGAGCGUUGUUCGGAAUUACUGGGCUUAAAGGGCGAGUAGGCGUCCCGGUAAGUCAGAUGUGGAAUCUUUUCGCUUAACGAAAAAAUUGCAUCUGAAACUAUCGGGAUUGAGUCAGUGAGGGGAGGGCGGAAUUCCUGGUGUAGCGGUGAAAUGCGUAGAUAUCAGGAGGAAGGCCUGUGGCGAAGGCGGCCCUCUGGCACUGUACUGACGCUGAGGCGCGAAAGCGUGGGGAGCAAACAGGAUUAGAUACCCUGGUAGUCCACGCCCUAAACGGUGGGCAUUAGGUGUAGGGCUCGUAAGGGUUCUGUGCCGAAGGGAAACCAUUAAAUGCCCCGCCUGGGGAGUACGGCCGCAAGGUUGAA